UAAUCAUCAAGUUUGAUGAAAUGUCCUAAUAUGUAGAUGCAGAUGCUAAGUCAUUCAGUCACCUAGCUUGUGAGAAUGGAAUGCUCACAAAAAGGACAAGAGCGAGAGAGCUGUAUGGAAAUUUACACAAAGGGUCAGUUAACGGAGUAAGCUGAUAUGGAGGAUAAUAUAUCAAAGGCAGCAUAGGCGUCCAAACUCCUGUUCAAGAAAUUGAGCAAGAAAAGUUUGAAGUGUCUUUGGGAAUGAUCAACAUCAAACUUGCUGAGCUUUUGAAGCCGUCGUACCAAAAGUGAAUCCAUUCGUGACACCAAUUAUCUGACCACCCUCUAACAGAACCAGUGAGGAAGUGAUUCUAGCCAAUACUUCAGAAGUUUAGGAUCCUCAAUAAUUAGGAUCUUGGGGCAUGUUGGGGAAAAAAAAUAGCAUGUGUUGAUUUUAUGGGAUCUUUCAAAUAUAGUUGUGUAGUAGAUAUUUGUGUACUUAAUACAUAUGUUUGUCACUCUAGUCAUUAACUUUGUAUGGUAAAUGUAUAUGGACCACUGGAAGAUCAUUGUAACUGUAUACAAAUGUUGCAAAUAUACCCUGUUAAGGCUUUAGUGACCUUUCCCAAGGUCAUUCAAUGAAGCAAAAGGUCAUAAUUAAUGUUUUUUUAAAAAUCUAUUUUGUUUUAUUAUUAAAAAAUGUCAUAUGUUUGAGAUUACUCUAGGUACAAAGGAUUUUCUUUAACCAAAAGUCAUUUGUUUCUCAUGCAGACCGUAAUUUACUACAUGUACAUGCAUGUAUAUUAUAAUAAUUCUCAUUAAUUAAACCAAGGUGAUCAUCCAGUAAUGAUAUUUUUC
Long non-coding RNA from Saccostrea echinata, 839 nucleotides. RefSeq lists it as uncharacterized. The record is from RefSeq and is a predicted model, not a curated record. NCBI's taxonomy places the organism in Eukaryota, Metazoa, Mollusca, Bivalvia, Ostreida, Ostreidae. The transcript is spliced from 4 exons.